RNAcentral lists this ribosomal RNA (431 nucleotides) under uncultured bacterium. RNAcentral's name for it is "partial 16S ribosomal RNA". It matches the Rfam family "Bacterial small subunit ribosomal RNA", at positions 29 to 507 of the family's 1533-position model. The record is from RNAcentral.
AGCGAACGCUGGCGGCAGGCUUAACACAUGCAAGUCGAGCGCCCCGCACGGGGUGCGGCAGACGGGAGAGUAACACGUGGGAACAUACCUUUUGGUUCGGAACAACUGAGGGAAACUUCAGCUAAUACCGGAUAAGCCCUUACGGGGAAAGAUUUAUCGCCGAACGAUUGGCCCGCGUCUGAUUAUCUUGUUGGUGAGGUAACGGCACACCAAGGCGACGAUUAGGAGCUGGUCUGUGUUGAGGAGCAGACUCACUGGGACUGAGACACGGCCCAGAAUGCUACGGGAGGCAGCAGUGGGGAAUAUUGGACAAGGGGGGCAACCCUGAGCCAGCCAUGCCGCGGGAGUGAUGAAGGCCUUAGGGUUGUAAAGCUGUUUUGACCGGGAAGAUAAUGACGGUAACGGGAGAAUAAGCCCCGGCUAACUUCGUG